Falco peregrinus (peregrine falcon) is the source of this 931-nucleotide long non-coding RNA. RefSeq lists it as uncharacterized. The transcript has 3 exons. NCBI's taxonomy places the organism in Eukaryota, Metazoa, Chordata, Aves, Falconiformes, Falconidae. The record is from RefSeq and is a predicted model, not a curated record.
CCCCCCGGCGCCCGGUGCGGGGCCGCGCCGCUGCUCGCAGCCCGGGCCGGCAGCGGGGCCGGCAGCGGCAGCCGGCCCUUGCCAUGGCUCUCCUCUUCCUUGGAAGGUUCUAGGUCUGUUAUUAAUGAAGCAGCUCAGAACUGUUGCAGAAAGGAAAGGAUAAUGUGUUCGUAUCUCGCUGAAAGCAGUUCCUACAACAGUAAAAGGGUCACCUGAAUGAAUAGUUUCCAGCAGAAAAAAGUUGACACGCACAGCCUCCCAUUCUGUCCACUAAGUGUCAUGAACAGCUUGUGCUUUCUCCAAAGGUACGUAUCAUUACAUAUUAAAUGGACCAGACAGCUAAGGUAGGGAUGUGCUUAAGUGAUUGAACCAGAACCCCUAUGAGUACUGUCUUCUCAAUAAACCUGCAUCUGUUCACACGGAUUGAAACCAGACCGCUCGCAUUUCUGAGUACUGAAGCCUGAGGCCCCGUAAUGACAAGCCACAUUUGAGGAAGACCUGCACAACAGCCUUCUGAGGAGAAGUUCUGCUUUUGCGGAUCAUGAAGCCAUGACCCCUGUCCUGCUCGGGGGCUCCACUCACCAUGUGUGGGCCAGCAAACACCCGGGCUGGAGAGCGGCUACGGUUCUGUGCUGAGCCACCACAGCAUGAUACACAAGGGCUGGACCAGGGAGAGCAAAGCUGGGGAUCCAUGAAUGUGUCUCAUGCUCCCAAGCAUGAGACCUUACUGGCCUAUAAAUCGUGAGUAUUUAUGUGAGUAUCUAUUGUGAAAUGCCUAGACUGGGUUUCUUUUGUUGCCUUUUACUGGCUUCAGCAGUCAGGAUGUAUAGUUGCUCUUCUUUGUGAGGGAUAAGUGGAAAUAAUUGAUCAUCUUCUGAAAAAUCUCAUAUUUAUCUAUUCAGAAUAACUCUAGAUGAAUAUUCUCCAACAA